Non-coding RNA from Heterocephalus glaber (naked mole-rat), 1914 nucleotides. NCBI's taxonomy places the organism in Eukaryota, Metazoa, Chordata, Mammalia, Rodentia, Bathyergidae. The record is from RefSeq and is a predicted model, not a curated record.
CCUGCUUUUCAGGGUGCAGCCCACAGCUCUCUGGAGCCACCUGGUCAGGCCCCUGCUGAUCACAUUAGGCCCACCCAGAUAAUCCGGGUCAUCGCCCCCUCUAGGGCUCAGCAGGCACAACCUGGGCUCACCCUUCCCACUGACAUAACCCACCGGCAGGGUCAGGGGUGAGGGUGUGGACGUCACCUGCCAGGAGAGCCCUGGGCCAUGCUCAGCGUGCUGGCUGAGCUUGGUCAGGCCUGGCGUGCUCCCAGGCCCGGACUCCUCCCUUCUGCUCCCCUGGGGGGCCUGGGGCCGUUGGCUGUGGGGUUCUCUGGGCCCAGCCCUGGGAACUGUGGCCUCUGGUUUAUCUCCUCGCUCCAGGCAGCCACCAGGAGCACCCAGGGGCCCCAGGGUGGGGACCCAGACUUAGGAAGCCAUGAAAGCUGAGCAGAGGCCUCACACAGCCCACACCCGCAGAGGCAUGAGGCUCCCUCAGUUGCUCUGCUUGGCCACACUGGCCGCCAGCAGCUCUUCCAAGGGCCAGGCAGAAGAAAUCUCCAUUGCCUACAAAGUCCUGGAGGUUUACCCCCAAAGUCGCCGUGUUCUCCUGACAUGCCAUGCACCCCAGGCCCCUCCUCCGGUCACCUACUUCCUCUUCGCCAGCCAAGGGAUCCAGGUGGCCAAGAAGGUGGUGCAGACCCAGCAGCCAGCCUCCUUCACCCUCAACGUCACACUCAAGUCCAGCCCAGACCUGCUCACCUACUCCUGUGAGGUGGCCUCCCCCUCCGGCCCGCAUGAGAGCAGCGCCCCGCUGCAGCUGUACUGGGAGCUGUGGGCCAAGCCCGUGUCCCAGCUGCAGACUAACAUCACCCUGCACAGCGGAGGGCCAGGCCCCAGGGCAGAGAUGUCCUGCUGGGCGCCCUCAGGCAGCCCGCUCAUCACCUACCGCCUGGUCAGCAAGGACGGGCAGGUCCACAUGCAACAGAGGCCACUCCACGGGCAGCCUGCCAACUUCUCCUUCCCACUGCCCCCCGCACUGGGCUGGUUCCAGUGCCAGGCUGAAAACAGCGUAGGGGUCCAGAGCAGCGCCCUCACACUGGUGCCCCCAGGGGAGCUCCCCCAAGGACCUGCACUCGUGCUGACCGGCAGUCUCAUCUCCAUUGCAGCUGUGGCCUCCGGGAUGCUGGGCUGGACCAGGUGGGUAGUGGGUGCCCAAUGGCGGGGAGCAGGAGACUGGCUUGGGGGGCAGGGCUGCCACCUGGGCUGAGAGGGCACAACAGCCACAACUCAGACUUUUGCUAAGCUGGGCGCAGCGGAGCACGCCUGUGAGCCCAGCGAGUUGGAGGCCAGUCUGAAUUGCAUAGGGAGACCCUGUCUCAAAAGAAAAAAGAAAAGAAGAAGAAAGAAAAAAAAGAAAACCUUAUCAAGAGCCCCUCAUGCUGAGGGCCACCCAAGCAUGCACAUUCCUUGCACACCUGAACCUGAACCUGAACCUUGCCCGAGUCUGCCUGCCGUGGUGCCAGCCUACCUGAGGAUGGAGCUUUUCUUCCUUCAGCUAAGGCCUGACGUCACCACCUGGGGACCGAGGCUGUGAGCAGAAGCUGCGGGCUCGUGAAUCCACCCGGAGCCCCAGCCUUGCCUUGGGCCCCACAGAAGGACCCUCCGCGGGGAUGAAGAGUAGCCCCCGGCAGGAGACAAGGGAGCCACGGUUUGAGGACACAGCAGCGGGCGGGCCGGAUGCAGGAGUCUCUGAAGAUGCGGGUGAUAGACUUGUCUUGUGUGUAGGAUUCACGCUAAAUGAGUAGUUUGCAGCUGCUGUUGCCACAAGAACAAAAAAUUGGGUAACUGAGAUGAGGGAUAUGUUUGUUUGCUUCCCUGUAGGAACCAUUUUAUGUGUGUAUCUAAUAGCAGCAAGUUGCAUACCUUCAACAU